This 253-nucleotide ribosomal RNA is filed under the name uncultured bacterium. RNAcentral's name for it is "partial 16S ribosomal RNA". It matches the Rfam family "Bacterial small subunit ribosomal RNA", at positions 524 to 776 of the family's 1533-position model. The record is from RNAcentral.
UACGUAGGGUGCGAGCGUUGUCCGGAAUUACUGGGCGUAAAGAGCUCGUAGGUGGUUUGUCGCGUUGUCCGUGAAAACUCACAGCUUAACUGUGGGCGUGCGGGCGAUACGGGCAGACUGGAGUACUGCAGGGGAGACUGGAAUUCCUGGUGUAGCGGUGGAAUGCGCAGAUAUCAGGAGGAACGCCGGUGGCGAAGGCGGGUCUCUGGGCAGUAACUGACGCUGAGGAGCGAAAGCGUGGGGAGCGAACAGG